AAACUUUCAACAACGGAUCUCUUGGUUCUGGCAUCGAUGAAGAACGCAGCGAAAUGCGAUAAGUAAUGUGAAUUGCAGAAUUCAGUGAAUCAUCGAAUCUUUGAACGCACAUUGCGCCCUUUGGUAUUCCGAAGGGCAUGCCUGUUCGAGCGUCAUUACAACCCUCAAGCUCUGCUUGGUAUUGGGCUUCGCCGGAGCAAUACCGGCGGGCCUUAAAGCCAUAGGCGGCGGUGCCCCUGCUUUACAGCGUAGUAAAACAAUC
RNAcentral lists this ribosomal RNA (262 nucleotides) under Sarcinomyces sp. MA 4665. Its description in RNAcentral is "5.8S ribosomal RNA". The stretch from base 2 to 155 matches the Rfam family "5.8S ribosomal RNA". Rfam says of the family: 5.8S ribosomal RNA (5.8S rRNA) is a component of the large subunit of the eukaryotic ribosome. The record is from RNAcentral. Lineage: Eukaryota; Fungi; Ascomycota; Eurotiomycetes; Chaetothyriales.